This 241-nucleotide long non-coding RNA is filed under the name Homo sapiens (human). RNAcentral's name for it is "HSALNT0308371". The record is from RNAcentral. Lineage: Eukaryota; Metazoa; Chordata; Mammalia; Primates; Hominidae.
UGUGUCGGUGAAAGGGGAGAAACUGGCUGACUUGCGUCUGUUUUUAAUGAUGUCGCUGCUGCUGGGAAAAUUUGGAAGCUGCAGAGCCAAGAACAUCAGAGGUGGGAUGAUGAUGCUUGUGGCUAUGAGACAGGAUUUCAAGGAUCCUGAUGAAACGUCUGCUGGCCUGAAUCUGUCUGAAUGCUGAAAAGGACUUUGUGUUACUCUAACUGAAAGGAAAACAUAAAAUGAUGAUAAUGUA